This 309-nucleotide unclassified non-coding RNA is filed under the name plant metagenome. RNAcentral describes it as "partial contains 5.8S ribosomal RNA, internal transcribed spacer 2, and large subunit ribosomal RNA". The stretch from base 1 to 104 matches the Rfam family "5.8S ribosomal RNA", at positions 51 to 154 of the family's 154-position model. The record is from RNAcentral.
AAAUGCGCUAAGUAAUGUGAAUUGCAGAAUCCAGUGAAUCAUCGAAUCUUUGAACGCACAUUGCGCCCGCCAGCAUUCUGGCGGGCAUGCCUGUUCGAGCGUCAUUUCAACCCUCGACCUCCCCUUGGGGAGGUCGGCGUUGGGGACCGGCAGCACACCGCCGGCCCUGAAAUGGAGUGGCGGCCCGUCCGCGGCGACCUCUGCGUAGUAAUACAGCUCGCACCGGAACCCCGACGCGGCCACGCCGUAAAACACCCAACUUCUGAACGUUGACCUCGAACCAGGUAGGACUACCCGCUGAACUUAAGC